This 365-nucleotide ribosomal RNA is filed under the name uncultured bacterium. RNAcentral describes it as "bacterial SSU rRNA". It matches the Rfam family "Bacterial small subunit ribosomal RNA", at positions 28 to 391 of the family's 1533-position model. The record is from RNAcentral.
GAUGAACGCUAGCGGCAGGCCUAAUACAUGCAAGUCGAGGGGCAGCGCGGUAGCAAUACUGGCGGCGACCGGCGCACGGGUGCGUAACACGUAUGCAACCUACCUUCAACUGGAGGAUAGCCCGGGGAAACUCGGAUUAAUACUCCAUAACACAGGGAUCCCGCAUGGGAAUAUUGUUAAAGCUACGGCGGUUGAAGAUGGGCAUGCGUUCGAUUAGCUAGUUGGUGUAGGUAACGGCUCACCAAGGCUACGAUCGAUAGGGGGUCUGAGAGGAUGAUCCCCCACACUGGUACUGAGAUACGGACCAGACUCCUACGGGAGCAGCAGUAGGGAAUAUUGGUCAAUGGGCGCAAGGCCUGAACCAG